Molecule: ribosomal RNA, 396 nt
Filed under: uncultured bacterium
Lineage: Bacteria
Description: bacterial SSU rRNA
Rfam family: Bacterial small subunit ribosomal RNA
Source: RNAcentral
GAAUAUUGGACAAUGGGCGAAAGCCUGAUCCAGCCAUGCCGCGUGAGUGAUGAAGGCCCUAGGGUUGUAAAGCUCUUUCACCGGUGAAGAUAAUGACGGUAACCGGAGAAGAAGCCCCGGCUAACUUCGUGCCAGCAGCCGCGGUAAUACGGAGGGAGCUAGCGUUGUUCGGAAUUACUGGGCGUAAAGCGCACGUAGGCGGCUUUGUAAGUUAGAGGUGAAAGCCCGGGGCUCAACCCCGGAAUUGCCUUUAAGACUGCAUCGCUUGAAGCCAGGAGAGGUGAGUGGAAUUCCGAGUGUAGAGGUGAAAUUCGUAGAUAUUCGGAAGAACACCAGUGGCGAAGGCGGCUCACUGGACUGGUAUUGACGCUGAGGUGCGAAAGCGUGGGGAGCAAA